GCGGGUGUGGCGAAACCGGCAGCCGCAGAGGUCUUAAAAACCUCGGCCUUCGGGCAUGCAGGUUCGAAUCCUGCCACCCGCACCA
Molecule: transfer RNA, 85 nt
Filed under: Chloroflexota bacterium
Lineage: Bacteria; Bacillati; Chloroflexota
Also listed under: 2 other names
Description: Chloroflexi bacterium tRNA-Leu
Rfam family: tRNA
About the family: Transfer RNA (tRNA) molecules are approximately 80 nucleotides in length. Their secondary structure includes four short double-helical elements and three loops (D, anti-codon, and T loops).
Source: RNAcentral